CCACAGCUGUCACACCUCCCUUUUCCUAACCCGGAAGAGGUAUAAAAGAGUUUUUUCAAUUAAAGGACAACCGAAACGGAAUUUAUUAUUAAAGAUUCAGAAUCAACACUUGGGAGAUUUAUGGUGUCUCAAGUCACCGCUUGAAUCCUGAAUCGAGGAAAAUAUUGACUCUGUUUAACAUUCCGCGAAUCAGAAAUUCGAAUUACACAAUAAUUAAUAAAAUUGGUUUUCACAUUGCAAAUCCUCAUAUACAUUCAAUCAGACUUCACUUGAAUUACAUGGUUCCCAUUCACUUGUUGCUCAAAGAUAGAGGAAUGCAUAAGAAAAAAAAUAGGGAAAGGAAGGUGAAAGCAAUGAACAACAGCAGGAGGAGAUACCAGCCACAAGAAGUAAACCAUCAAAAAUGAUCUUGAACCUCAAAAAUUGAAGUAUUGAGCCCAGAAACCAAUUUCAACAAACAGCCAGCCCAAAAAACCUCAAAACUCAGACUCAAUGACUGGACCUCAAACCAUUUCAAAGCUCAAACAGUCAGAAAUUGAAUUUGGAAGUAAAAGUUUCAAAUUGCCAAACAAAAUCAAUGGAACAGUAGUUUCAACAUAGUCUAAUAAAAAAAUUUCCAAAAUAAUAUCAAACCAACUCGAAUCUUAUUACUGAACACUAUUGUUGUAAGAACUCAUCAGAAUCAGAAUUCACUAAAGCUCGAUUGUGCAUCAGAACUCUUAUUUUUUUCCAGAAUUCUAUUUCUAUAUCUCUUCUUUUAUUGUCUGCUUGUGU
Molecule: long non-coding RNA, 774 nt
Filed under: Nicotiana benthamiana
Lineage: Eukaryota; Viridiplantae; Streptophyta; Magnoliopsida; Solanales; Solanaceae
Description: long non-coding RNA (NBEN_LNC020446)
Source: RNAcentral